AGGGUUUGAUCAUGGCUCAGGACGAACGCUGGCGGCGUGCUUAACACAUGCAAGUCGAACGAUGAAGAAAAGAAUUGAAGCUUCGGCAGAAAUUCAUUUCGGAUUAGUGGCAGACGGGUGAGUAACGCGUGAGCAACCUACCUCUUACAAAGGGAUAGCCUCGGGAAACCGGGAUUAAUACCAUAUAACAUUGCGACGAAGCAUUUCGAUGCAAUCAAAGCUACGGCGGUAAGAGAUGGGCUCGCGUCCCAUUAACCAGAUGGUGAGGUAACGGCUCACCAUAGUAACGAUGGGUAACCGGCCUGAGAGGGUGAACGGUCACACUGGAACUGAGACACGGUCCAG
This 345-nucleotide ribosomal RNA is filed under the name uncultured bacterium. RNAcentral's name for it is "bacterial SSU rRNA". It matches the Rfam family "Bacterial small subunit ribosomal RNA", at positions 8 to 334 of the family's 1533-position model. The record is from RNAcentral.